UUUUUCAAAAGAAAAAAAAAAAAUAAAGAUGAUAAUCACCGUGGGUUUGGUUUGAUUUCAGAGUCGUUAAGGAGAGAACUCUAGCUAGCCUAUCAUUUUCAAUUGUAUAUUCGGAAUCAUGGCAAAAGAAAACGUUUCUGCUCUCGAUUUUGCUGAUGAUUUCUACCUUUCUUUGCUCUUCGAUGAUGAAGAACAACAGGAAGUCGUCUUUCCGUUUUCCGACGCCAAAUACGCCGAGGAGCUGCAGUUCCAGGAGGCUCUAAUGGGUUCUGUGAUCAUUUCUCACAUGAAGAGGAAUAACCCAUCAUCGGUUUUGAUGAUUGAAGCACCUCCCAGGCAAAAUCUCCUGGAAGUUGUUCAGUCGUCCCUCAGGUUCUGCGAUAUUUGUGCUGAAAAGAAAGAUAGUGAUCAAAUGUUCGAAACUGAGAGAUGUGUUCACUCUUAUUGCUCCGACUGUAUAAGCAAACAUGUGGCUACAAAGAUUCACGAUAGCGUUACAAUCAUUACCUGUCCAGGAUUGAAUUGCAAGGCUGUGCUUGAACUGGACACUUGCAGAGCUAAGCUCUCCAAGGGAGUGAUUGAUCGUUGGGAGGAAGCGCUCUGUGAGGAGCUAAUCAGUGCAUCGCCGAGGUUUUACUGCCCAUUUAAGGAUUGUUCAGCCAUGUUUGUGGCCGAUAAUGAAGGAGAAGCCAUUAGGGAAGCUGAGUGCCCCUUGUGCCAUAGAUUGUUCUGUGCUCGUUGUUAUGUCCCUUGGCAUUCUGGGGUAGAGUGUGAGGUGUUUCAGAGUCUGAAUGAGGAUGAAAGAGGAAGAGAAGAUCUGAUGUUUAUAGAAAUUGCUAAGGAUAAGAAAUGGAGUAGAUGUCCCCAUUGCAAAUUCUACGUGGAAAGAACAGAUGGCUGCCCACAUAUGAUUUGCAGGUGUAAGUUCCAGUUUUGCUAUGGCUGUGGUUCGGAAUGGACACAAAGUCAUGGUGGUUGCCAGAGAAACUAGCUUGGCUGGAGAAAGCGUGAGAGUGGUAUGCAUUUACAAUGUUAUAUAGGUACAAUAAAACUCUAGGAAGUUGCUGAAGUUGUCUCUAAGGGACAAUAUUGUGUAAAUGCUAAUAAACAUAAAAGAACAUUAUAAAGCACUUUGAGUUAAUAUAGCUUUAAAGCCUCCAAAUCCU
Molecule: unclassified non-coding RNA, 1166 nt
Filed under: Hevea brasiliensis (rubber tree)
Lineage: Eukaryota; Viridiplantae; Streptophyta; Magnoliopsida; Malpighiales; Euphorbiaceae
Source: RNAcentral